AGGGGCGUAGCUCAGCUGGUAGAGCAUUGGUCUCCAAAACCAAGGGUCGUGGGUUCGAAUCCUGCCGCCCCUG
RNAcentral lists this transfer RNA (73 nucleotides) under Anaerolineae bacterium. Its description in RNAcentral is "tRNA-Trp". It matches the Rfam family "tRNA". From Rfam's summary of the family: Transfer RNA (tRNA) molecules are approximately 80 nucleotides in length. Their secondary structure includes four short double-helical elements and three loops (D, anti-codon, and T loops). The record is from RNAcentral. Lineage: Bacteria; Bacillati; Chloroflexota; Anaerolineae.